CCUACGGGUGGCAGCAGUGAGGAAUAUUGGUCAAUGGUCGUAAGCCUGAACCAGCCAAGCCGCGUGAGGGAUGAAGGUUCUAUGGAUCGUAAACCUCUUUUAUCAGGGAAUAAAGACUGGGACGCGUCCCGGUAUGUAUGUACCUGAUGAAUAAGCAUCGGCUAACUCCGUGCCAGCAGCCGCGGUAAUACGGAGGAUCCGAGCGUUAUCCGGAUUUAUUGGGUUUAAAGGGUGCGCAGGCGGCCUUUUAAGUCAGCGGUGAAAGCCUGGGGCUCAACCAUAGAAUCGCCGUUGAAACUGGCAGGCUUGAGUAUGUGAGAAGCAUGCGGAAUGCGUGGUGUAGCGGUGAAAUGCUUAGAUAUCACGCAGAACCCCGAUUGCGAAGGCAGCCUGCCGGGCCAUGACUGACGCUGAUGCACGAAAGCGUGGGGAUCAAACAGGAUUAGAUACCCCGGUAGUC
RNAcentral lists this ribosomal RNA (460 nucleotides) under uncultured bacterium. Its description in RNAcentral is "partial 16S ribosomal RNA". It matches the Rfam family "Bacterial small subunit ribosomal RNA", at positions 338 to 795 of the family's 1533-position model. The record is from RNAcentral.